GACGAACGCUGGCGGCGUGCUUAACACAUGCAAGUCGAACGAUGAAGCUGGAGCUUGCUCCGGUGGAUUAGUGGCGAACGGGUGAGUAACACGUGAGCAAUCUGCCCUUGACUCUGGGAUAACUGCGGGAAACUGUAGCUAAUACCGGAUACUUUCACUGGAAGGCAUCUUCUGGUGAAGAAAGAAUUUCGGUCAAGGAUGAGCUCGCGGCCUAUCAGCUUGUUGGUGGGGUGAUGGCCUACCAAGGCGACGACGGGUAGCCGGCCUGAGAGGGUGACCGGCCACACUGGGACUGAGAUACGGCCCAGACUCCUACGGGAGGCAGCAGUGGGGAAUAUUGCACAAUGGGCGCAAGCCUGAUGCAGCGACGCCGCGUGAGGGAUGACGGUCUUAGGAUUGUAAACCUCUUUCAGCAGGGACGAAAACAGACGGUACCUGCAGAAGAAGCCCCGGCUAACUACGUGCCAGCCGCCGCCGUAA
RNAcentral lists this ribosomal RNA (480 nucleotides) under uncultured bacterium. Its description in RNAcentral is "partial 16S ribosomal RNA". It matches the Rfam family "Bacterial small subunit ribosomal RNA", at positions 28 to 523 of the family's 1533-position model. The record is from RNAcentral.